AGAAUCAACGCUGGCGGCGUGCCUAACACAUGCAAGUCGAACGAGAAAGUGGAGCAAUCCAUGAGUAAAGUGGCGACCGGGUGAGUAACACGUGACUAACCUACCUUCGAGUGGGGGAUAACCUAGGGAAACCUGGGCUAAUACCGCAUAACAUCUUUGGAUCGGAAGAACUGAAGAUCAAAGGAGCAAUUCGCUUGAAGAGGGGGUCGCGGCUGAUUAGCUAGGUUGGCGGGGUAAUGGCCCACCAAGGCUUUGAUCGGUA
This 262-nucleotide ribosomal RNA is filed under the name uncultured bacterium. Its description in RNAcentral is "partial small subunit ribosomal RNA". It matches the Rfam family "Bacterial small subunit ribosomal RNA", at positions 26 to 285 of the family's 1533-position model. The record is from RNAcentral.